This is a long non-coding RNA of Zootermopsis nevadensis, 691 nucleotides long. RefSeq lists it as uncharacterized. Lineage: Eukaryota; Metazoa; Arthropoda; Insecta; Blattodea; Termopsidae. The record is from RefSeq and is a predicted model, not a curated record.
CAUCUAAUCUCAUUGGUCAGUUCGAAGAUUCAAUCGUAAUGGCCGUCUCUGAGAAGAUCUGUUUGUAUUAAAUAACAGUCAAAUUUAAUCAUUAAGCUUAUUCGGAUAUAUGUGACAAGAUACACACAAUUAAUUAAAGUGUCUGGAAGCAUCCUGCUAACGUCCAUCUUGUUCCAAGAUAAACCUUAUAUGCGAAACAAUACAGUCUUGAUGAAAUGACCUUCGCAGCCCUGGCCUACCAGUUGUACAACGUGAUUCAAAGGAUUACGGGUUCCUGCUCCUUUCUACAUCUCACCACAGGCUUCCUUUUUAAAAGAUUUAUUUUUUCCGUUAUUUUUCUCAAGUAUCACGAAUGAAAAUUAUGAAGAUGUCAGUCACAGUUAUGACUUCCAAGAAUGAUAAAUCUUUCUGCCAUAGUUUUGUGAGAGUCACAUGAAACUAUAAACUGUGUGGUUUACUGGAAGUUACUUUAUUGAUGGAACUCACAUUACAAAGAUGACUGUUGAAGAAUACAUGCUCAACAAACAACCAAUUAGUUAAUUUAAAAAUACACUGUAAUAUAGGUCUAUGGUUUUAAAACAAAGUUUGUUAAGGUAAUGUUUCAAAUAUAUUUCGUUUGUUAUAUUGAGAACUUGUAGUCUUAUACUAAAUAAAGUGUGUCCAAAAUGAGAUUCAACACAUGAACAAACAA